ACCAGACUCCUACGGGAGGCAGCAGUGGGGGAUAUUGCACAAUGGAGGAAACUCUGAUGCAGCGACGCCGCGUGAGGGAAGACGGUCUUCGGAUUGUAAACCUCUGUCUUUGGGGAAGAAAAUGACGGUACCCAAAGAGGAAGCUCCGGCUAACUACGUGCCAGCAGCCGCGGUAAUACGUAGGGAGCGAGCGUUGUCCGGAUUUACUGGGUGUAAAGGGUGCGCAGGCGGCUCUGCAAGUCAGGCGUGAAAGCUAGGGGCUCAACCCCUAAACUGCGCUUGAAACUGUGGAGCUUGAGUGAAGUAGAGGCAGGCGGAAUUCCCGGUGUAGCGGUGAAAUGCGUAGAGAUCGGGAGGAACACCAGUGGCGAAGGCGGCCUGCUGGGCUUUAACUGACGCUCAGGCACGAAAGCAUGGGUAGCAAACAGGAUUAGAUACCCCCGUACA
RNAcentral lists this ribosomal RNA (447 nucleotides) under uncultured bacterium. RNAcentral's name for it is "bacterial SSU rRNA". It matches the Rfam family "Bacterial small subunit ribosomal RNA", at positions 330 to 794 of the family's 1533-position model. The record is from RNAcentral.